This 446-nucleotide ribosomal RNA is filed under the name uncultured bacterium. Its description in RNAcentral is "partial 16S ribosomal RNA". It matches the Rfam family "Bacterial small subunit ribosomal RNA", at positions 338 to 795 of the family's 1533-position model. The record is from RNAcentral.
CCUACGGGAGGCAGCAGUCGAGAAUCAUUCACAAUGGGGGAAACCCUGAUGGUGCGACGCCGCGUGGGGGAAUGAAGGUCUUCGGAUUGUAAACCCCUGUCAUGUGGGAGCAAAUUAAAAAGAUAGUACCACAAGAGGAAGAGACGGCUAACUCUGUGCCAGCAGCCGCGGUAAUACAGAGGUCUCAAGCGUUGUUCGGAAUCACUGGGCGUAAAGCGUGUGUAGGCUGUUUCGUAAGUCGUGUGUGAAAGGCGCGGGCUCAACCCGCGGACGGCACAUGAUACUGCGAGACUAGAGUAAGGGAGGGGGAACCGGAAUUCUCGGUGUAGCAGUGAAAUGCGUAGAUAUCGAGAGGAACACUCGUGGCGAAGGCGGGUUCCUGGACAUUAACUGACGCUGAGGCACGAAGGCCAGGGGAGCGAAAGGGAUUAGAUACCCGUGUAGUC